AUUUUCUCUUUCUUUUCUCUCUUUAAAUGUAAAAAAAAAUUAGGUUUUGUUUUUGUUUUCUCUCUGUAUUUAAUGUCCAAUGUUUGCAAUUUUAUUUUGUCACUUUGAUUAGUAAUUAAUGCUGUUAAUUGGUCCAAGUUGAUUUUAUUGAUGUCCAAAAACAACAAGGUAACAUCAACAUGUCAUCAUCACAGUUAAUUAGUGAAUCAAGUGACCAAUCGUCACCAUCUUUACCUGUAUCAGGGUUACCGCUAUCAACACCCCAACCACCGUCAUCAUCUUUAUUACCUUCUACAUCAUCACCACCUUUUCAAACACCAGUUUUACCAUUUUCACCAGUAAAACAAUCACAAUUACCUGAGAUGUUAGUUGAUACUCUAGUCUCGGAAUGUCAGCAACCAGAAAUAUUAACAGAAACUGAAUUACAGUUAUCCUCAGGUAUCACGCCCGAUCUGGAAAAUACAUUGAUUGAAGAAGAGGUAAAAGAUACAGAUUUAGAGAGAGAAUCCUUGGAAACUAAUUUAUCAGUAAACUCUACAAUAAAUGAAUCCUUAAUUGAUUCUAAACAUAAUGUUGAACCUAAGGGCAAGUUAGAAGAAGAGAAACCGUUAGAAUUUUCAUCUCCAGGUGAACCAGAACCAGUCGAAGAACCAGUUAAGGAAUCGAUACAAGAAAACACCUUAGAACCAGAAUUACCAGAGGAAAAGCUGCAAGUUCCAAGCUCUGGGUUACAACCUAUUUUCGAACCAAUGGAAAUUUGUGAAUAUGAGUCAAACACCAUAACUCAAUUACCACAAUCACAAUCAACUCAAUCUCAACCCUCAUAUCACUUGAAAUGGGUCAAAUUGAAAGGAAACAAAUAUCCAAUAGUCACACAGAAUGAGAAUGGUCCAUGUCCAUUAAUAGCUAUUAUCAAUGUUCUCCUUGUGAAAGGACGCUUACGAUUACCCUCGAUGAUGGAAGUGAUCACAGCAAAUCAACUGAUCGAAUAUCUUGGUGAUUGUAUAUUGGAAAAUAUUCCCAAAGGCUUAAAAGAAGAAGAUCAACUUAAUUACGAGCAAAAUAUGCAUGAUGCAAUCGCCAUUCUACCUAAAUUACAAACUGGAUUAGACGUAAAUGUCCGGUUUACUGGAGUUUCCGAUUUUGAGUAUACACCCGAACUCAUCUUUUUUGACCUUCUACACAUUCCACUUUAUCAUGGUUGGCUUGUUGAUCCAAAUGAUAUCGAAACAGUGACUUCCAUUGGUAAUUUAAGUUACAAUCAAUUGGUUGACAAAAUAAUCACUCAUAAAACAUCAACUCGUCCCGAGUUGGCUUUUGAAGCUUUGGUUGUGGAACACUUUUUGGAAAGAACAGCAUCACAAUUAACUUACCAUGGAUUAUCCCAAUUAAAUUCAACCCUGAAAGACGGUGAACUCAGUGUUCUAUUUCGUAACAAUCAUUUCAUUACCCUGUUAAAAUCUAAGGAUCAAUUGUAUCAAUUAGUUACUGAUCAAGGUUUUCUUACGGAAUCAAGAGUUGUUUGGGAGACACUUAACAACAUUGAGAAUGAUGGAUUAUUCGUCGAUGGUGAUUUUAUUCCGGUCCCUCCGAAAUCUUCAUUAACUGCUGAGGAUCAGCAGGUUCAAGUUGAUCAAGAUUAUCUAAUUGCUCUGAGUCUCCAAGAGGAACAAAAAAAAGAAUUUGAGAAAGAAAAAGAAUGGGAAACAUAUAAAAGCGAAAAUGGAUUAAACGAGCUUAGUGAUGAGGAAUUCGCCCGAAAAUUACAAGAAGAAGAGAGCCGUAAAGCAGGACAAUUAACUAAUUACCAAGGAGAUAACGAGAAUGGACAAUCAUCUCAGAACGAACCGAAUCAACAUAAUCAAAGCCAUAACAAUGAGCAAUCAAGGGAUAACUUCAGAUCUCCUGGAUCUGGAAAUAAAAGAAGUCACAGUUUACCACCAAGAAAAAAUAGUAACAAACCCGAUGAUAAAUCAAAUACAAAGUGUUCGAUGAUGUGACAAAGUUAACAACUAAAACCAUAUAUACAAUUUAUUGAGACAAUUAAUAAGAAUGAUAUCAACAAUACAUGUAACACGUGAACAUUACGAUCGCGUGUUUGAUUAUAUUUCUUGCUUAUUGUCAACUAAUCGACUAACUUCUUGUCACCAAUAACAACUAAAGAAAACAAUUUUCUAACCAACGGAAGAAACAAGACCAACAAAUUAAAUCUUGAUCGAUUGAUCGACGACAAUUUAAAGAUAAAUUCACGUUAAUUAAACACGAAAAUGGAUUAAAGAAGCUUUUAAAAUCAUUAAAGAGGAAAAGUGACCAACUCUUGCUCAAAAGAAACCAACAAUUUGAAUAACUAUUGUAAUCUAAACUAUUCCCUGGUAAAUCAAUCGGUGAAAUAAUAAUUUUAAUUGCAAGUUAAUCAACACGAUUAACUGCAUGUGCCUUAAUUUAUAAAAUUAGGGAUUAAUGAUAAAUCCAAUCUAUUGGCUCGUUGACGUUCAAAUUUGGUUAAUUGUCUUUGGUUGUAUCAAACUAGCAAAUGGAUUUAUCAAUAAUUAAUGUUUUUUUCAAAAUUUUUCGUUCAACACCGCAAAUGGAAAUGUUAUGAUUACAAUUAUUUAAAUGGAUCACAAUUAUUAACCACAAUUAGUGUUGUUAUCAAUUGAAGAUUGAAUUAUGAUCAAUAACCACUAGAAAAUUGGUUAAUCAAACAUGAUGAUUGUAUAAUUUUGGAAAACAAUUGUGCCUUUAAUCUUAAACUUUUUUCUUUUCCUCUGUUCAACUAUUUUCAAUUCUAAUUAGAACAAAAUUAAUUAAAUUCUGAUGAAAUAAUUAAAUUGUUUCAUUUGAUUUCAAA
This is an RNA transcript of Panonychus citri (citrus red mite), 2851 nucleotides long. It is a transcript of the gene named ubiquitin carboxyl-terminal hydrolase MINDY-1-like, with no coding region annotated. Lineage: Eukaryota; Metazoa; Arthropoda; Arachnida; Trombidiformes; Tetranychidae. The transcript has 7 exons. The record is from RefSeq and is a predicted model, not a curated record.